This 835-nucleotide long non-coding RNA is filed under the name Linum usitatissimum (flax). RNAcentral describes it as "long non-coding RNA (LUSI_LNC007415)". Lineage: Eukaryota; Viridiplantae; Streptophyta; Magnoliopsida; Malpighiales; Linaceae. The record is from RNAcentral.
AAUGUAAGUUCUCCAUCUCACAUCUCUCAUUAGAGACAGAUCUGUUCGGAGAAUGGAUUGCUGCUAUGCCGGUGAAUAUAUGGUGAAUUUCAAAAUCAAUUUUGGCUAGAAUUGAAUGGAUUUAUUUAUAUCUCUUUCCAAGGAAAGUAAUUGGAAAUCCCUAGCUUGUUGAACUUAACGUCAUACAGAAUUUCGCAAUCUAUGUAUUUCAGAAAUAGGCCAGAAGAUGGAUUGGAAGAUGAAGGUCGAGUUUUGAUUGUUCUAGACGAUGUCUGGUUUCUCUCGGUUCUUGAGCAGUUGGUUUUUAGGGUUCAUGGAGUGGAGCAGUUGAAGGGAGAUGAAGCAAUUUUUUUGUUUUGCCAAUAUGGUUUUGAACAGUAUUGGCAUCAAGACGGAAGUAGGAGAAGAACCGGAUGAGGUAGAGGCUGAGGCCUCUUCUUUGUUAUCCAGGCAGAGUAUGAUCAGAUUGGAGAGAAGUUUCUAUUUUGAGAUACUUUUAUGAAUUUUAGAGGAUUAUUAUGAAAUUGAAACUAUAAUAUUAUUAUUAUUUAUUUAUGACAUGGAGCCUAUGUGGAAGCGACGUUCGAUGACACGUUAUUAAUGUUAAGUUUGAUCGUUAAGUUAAUAGUUUAAUAUUAAAUAUGUAUUAUAAUAGGCAUUUUUAAUAAGUUAUGUUAUUCUAGAUCAAGACUCAAUAGGUUCGACUUCUUGAGAUCAUUAUUUCUUAAAUCUAAGAUGUGGGUGAUGUAAUGUUUAUUGAGCUCCUUAUAUAUGUAGGGAGAUGGAAUAAUCUUGAGUUUGACGGUCAACUAUAUCGAAUAACUAAAGAAGCUCG